GAUAAGGGAAUCCCCAGUGCUCAUGCACUGCAUGGGCUUUUGCCAAGUGUAAAUAGCUUGGCGAAUAAGUGGUGGGUAAGACUGGUGCCAGCCGCCGCGGUAACACCAGCGCCACGAGUGGCAACCGCGAUUAUUGGGCCUAAAGCGUCCGUAGCCGGGUUGAUAAAUCCUUUGUGAAAUUGUGCGGCUUAACCGUACAACGUGCAAGGGACACUGUCGACCUCGAGACCGGGAGGAGUCAGAAGUAUUCCAGAGGGAGCGGUAAAAUGUUAUAAUCUCUGGAGGACUACCUGUGGCGAAGGCGUCUGACCAGAACGGAUCUGACGGUGAGGGACGGAAGCCAGGGGAGCGAACCGGAUUAGAUACCCGAGUAGUCCUGGCCGUAAACGCUGUGAGCUAGGUGUUGCGCCAGCUACAUGUUGGUGCAGUGUCGAAAGGAAGCUGUUAAGCUCACCGCCUGGGAAGUACG
RNAcentral lists this ribosomal RNA (469 nucleotides) under uncultured archaeon. Its description in RNAcentral is "bacterial SSU rRNA". It matches the Rfam family "Archaeal small subunit ribosomal RNA", at positions 369 to 839 of the family's 1478-position model. The record is from RNAcentral.